RNAcentral lists this long non-coding RNA (417 nucleotides) under Equus caballus (horse). RNAcentral describes it as "lncRNA (ENSECAG00000041128.2)". The record is from RNAcentral. Lineage: Eukaryota; Metazoa; Chordata; Mammalia; Perissodactyla; Equidae.
GUCCCCGCGGGCUCUGGCUGUGGGCGUGCAAAGUGGAACAAGAAUAGAGAUAGAGAUAUGCCCACCUCUUGGGAUUGGUUCAUCACAGCUUGGAGUGGAAAAAGAGCUUUAGUCAUGUAGCAAGGAUGCAAGACAAAAGCCCAAAAUGGACAUCCACUCUAAAUUUCCAACAUAUCAAGGAAUAAAGGAAAAUGACUUGGAAGAUUCUAGUUGCAUGCAAGCUGAAAGAACAUGCUUGGGGGGCUGGCCCCGUGGUGGAGUGGUUAAGUUCGCGUGCUCCGCUGCAGGCGGCCCAGUGUUUCGUCGGUUCGAAUCCUGGGCACGGACAUAGCACUGCUUAUCAAACCACGCUGAGGCAGCAUCCCACAUGCCACAACUAGAAGGACCCACAACGAAGAAUAUACAACUAUGUAUUGG